RNAcentral lists this small RNA (227 nucleotides) under Xenorhabdus eapokensis. The record is from RNAcentral. Lineage: Bacteria; Pseudomonadati; Pseudomonadota; Gammaproteobacteria; Enterobacterales; Morganellaceae.
GAACCACUGCAAAACAAUAACCAGGGAAUAAAUCCAUCGGGAAGAUGGUACAAAGGAUGAUUAGGUACAGGCAGGAACGCUAAAAAUUAUCAGUAUAAUGAUUGAAUAAAGGAUAACUGACAGGGAUGUAUUUUGUCAGGGAAAUCAGCAGGAAGCACCCCAAGUAGCAGGAUUGCUAUGACAGCCACUCAAGAGGAGAGGGAAAAUCUCUCCUCUUACUUCAUUUC